AACAUGGUCAGCUGCGAGGCUGACCGUUGUGAUGUUCAGUAGAACCUUGACAACUGCAUAGGUAAGUCUGUAAAUAAAGCAUCUCAUGGAUGCUCUAGAGGCAGCUGAUGAUUCCAGUGGCUUUGGCCACUGAAAUCAUGGUUUGUUUUUGGAGCGAUUCUAGAGUAGGAGCCGAGACGCCACAUUGCUCCUGGUUCUUGCCGAAAGAAUCGGGUUUGAUCUUGUUUUUAGUUUUAAAAACCGGAGAAUCUGCGUACAACCGCAGCAAGGUGAUGUGGAGAUAAAUUGGUCAAGCUACAAAGGGCUCACGGUGGAUCCCUUGGCACACAGAGGCGAUGAAGGACGUAGUUACCUGCGAUAAGUCUCGGGGAGCUGGAAACACGCUUUGAUCCGGGAAUUUCCGAAUGGGGCAACCCCUAGAA
RNAcentral lists this unclassified non-coding RNA (422 nucleotides) under Synechococcus cf. nidulans TAU-MAC 3010. Its description in RNAcentral is "partial 16S-23S ribosomal RNA intergenic spacer". The stretch from base 288 to 422 matches the Rfam family "Bacterial large subunit ribosomal RNA", at positions 1 to 135 of the family's 2925-position model. Lineage: Bacteria; Bacillati; Cyanobacteriota; Cyanophyceae; Synechococcales; Synechococcaceae. The record is from RNAcentral.